Molecule: unclassified non-coding RNA, 3188 nt
Filed under: Priapulus caudatus
Lineage: Eukaryota; Metazoa; Priapulida; Priapulimorpha; Priapulimorphida; Priapulidae
Description: cREB3 regulatory factor-like, transcript variant X3
Source: RNAcentral
AAAAUAUUUUACGCCGGGCAUAAACUAAAUGGUUGUGUUCGCUUUGCAUUGUGGGAUUAGUGGUGAUGGGCGUGUGUGCUCGGCGUGUCCUGAUGAAUUAGUUACAUCUCGCGGUGUUCGUUAAAUUUUAAUUUGUGGGAAAAGUCGGAAAUUUGUUUGGAAAUUAAUAAAUUAUGUAUCGUAAGCAAGACGUAGGUGAAAGCUUGCAAUUCUAGUAUUUUGCAGAAAAUUCCACAGUGCAGAUGUGAUCUUCAUAGCGCGAAACAGUGUUUUCAUUGGAUAUUUGCUUUGAUUGACACGUGACGUACGCGUUCUCGAUUCUUCCCUGGACAAAACUGGACAAAACCAAAACAAACCAGCUGAUUCACACGCUUUGGUGUUGGUGCGACUUGUUAUAAUUUUGUUGUGCAAGAAAUUUGUUUGAUACAUCGGAGAUACGGAUAAACAAGCGAGAAGACACCCAGACAGAACCAAGUUAUAACUGACGUUAGUACGAGAAAAAAACGUUUGUUGAGAAUUAAGAAGAACGAUCACAAGUGCUAUUGAGAAGGACGUUUGGCGAGCGAGAUAGGACACGGACUAAGAAGAGGAGUGAUCGUAGAAGUGCAGGCAUCCAAGGAGAUUGUGCCUGGGCGAGAGGGCAAGGAGCAGGACAGAUGGCCGACACUGUACGCGUCGAGAGAUAAGUGUGAAGCCAAGGGUACUGUCACAGAAGCUAUGCCAAUGAUUCUUGAGCUUGGAGUACAACCGACAAUGGCGGUGUUCCAGAUGGAUCCGACACAUCACAGCGCGAUGGUGGAUCUGCCGUGGCUGGGCGGCCCGUGCGAGCAGUCCCUGUUCCACGACCUCGACACCGACGUGCCGUCCAUCUACGGCGGCAUCUGUCGCUCCAGCAGCUCGAGCGGUAGCAGCACCGGCAGCAUGUGCUCGCCGACAGGUGGCAGCACGGUUGGCGGCGGCGGUGGCGCGGCGACGACGGCCGACCUCGACAUGGUGAAGAUCGAAGACGAGGUGAUGACGAGCUGCGAACUACGCUGCCUCGCGUCGUCCGGCCGCAACGAGUUCGACGACAUCACGACGACGGAGGAGCUCGUCUGGGCGGGCCAGGACCUCGACAUGCUCAAGAUGGAGGACAUCUUCCAGGUGGACGAGGCCGACCUGAAGCAGAGUCCGACGCUCGCUCAGCUGAACAGCGUCGACGAGUCCUGCGUCGAUCUCUUCGAUUACGAGCGGGCGUCGUCCACCGCCUCCGCCCGUCCGGCACCGACGAUGACCAAAGUCGCCGCCAAGUCCUCUAGUCUGCCAUACAAGAAAGCAGCCGCCAUCAUCGCGGCGGCAGCAGCGAGAGCCGCUGCCGGUUCGCCGCGGCGGAUCAACGCCUACGUCGCACAGUCGGUCGCCAUGAUCUCGAGUACCUCGGAAGUUCAGCAGGACCUGCUGAGUCAGAAUCCUAGUCUCCGCGCUCUUCUCGCGCAGCCCUUGCCGCAGCAAGUGCCCUCGUGGACGGCCAGCUCCACGACCGCAAAACCCGAGCUCGACAAGAGGUGGGAGGAAAUUGUCGACUUUAUACACGAAGAUAAGGACGCGUCGGCCAAGCUACGACGCGACAAGAACGAAAGUUGUAGCAGGAAGCGAAAUCUUAGCACAAGCACUGUUGGGUCAUAUGAAGAUUUGGACCAUGAUGAACAUGGCGACAGUGAUUUGGACUCCGACAAUGAGGAAUUCCUGAGCGACAAUAGCAGCCAAGACAGCAGUUUUCUCCAACCAACGACACCCAAAAAGAAGCAACGAUUCUUCUGGCAGUACAAUUUGCAGGCGAAAGGAGCCAAGGGAGAAAAGCUACGUGUCAUAUCGCAGCCUGAAGAUCCCCAUCAUCUGGAUGCUGCCACAGACCCCGUCUUUAGCCCGUCAAUUCACAUAAAGUAUGUGAACAAAGACUAUUCUAAGGGGGAACGUGGCAUAAAACACAGCGGCAAGGCACGGCGCGGCGACGGCAAUGACUUGACGCCGAACCCGAAGAAGUUGUACGCGAUUGGACGAGAACUGAGCAAGUUGGGGAAGCUCAUCAACGACAUGACGCCGGUCAGCGAGGUGCCGUUUAAUUCUCGGCCGAGAUCUCGACGCGAGAAGAAUAAACUGGCGUCGCGCGCCUGCCGACUGAAAAAGAAGGCGCACCACGAGGCAAACAAGCUGAAACUUUUCGGGCUGGCACGAGAGCACGAGGCCCUGCUUAAAUUGAUGGAUACGGUGCGGAGUGAGCUGGCGACGAGAUACAAGAGUCCCAAUGUGAAACGUGAAGAGACCGCCACCCAGUUUCUGGACAGAUUAAUCAAAGGACAAGGCGAAGCUGUAAAGGUGGGAGAUUCGACCGAAUUCAUUACAGAAAUACUACAGAAUGUCGAGAAGGGAAAUGCGACAGGAGGGCUGAAAUACUAAUGACGAAAUGGUCGUAAUAGCAAAUGAAAUCUGUUGCUACAUCUGAUCAGAUCAAACUCAUCAUCGCUGAUGAGUUCUGUGUGUGUGUGCGUGCGUGCGUGCGUGCGUGCGUGCGUUUGCGUGUGUGUGUGUUUGUGUUUGUGUGUAUGUGUGUGAAAGUGCCUUUGUACAACAACAAACGUGCAGGCACCGAUUCUGUCAUCUUUUUUAGUCACAGAAACCAUUAGUUCCAUCGAGUCUAAAGUUAUCUGUUAAAUUAGUAGUGUGUGGUUUGGUGAUUAUUUUCAUUAAUUUCAAAACAAAUAAGCAUCUCUGCAUUCCCGCAUUAUAUAUAUAUAUAUACACGCACAUAUAUAUAUGUGUGUAUAUAUAUCUAUAUAUCUAUAUAUAUAUACUUCAUCUUUGAUGCAGAGUGUCUUUCUAAUGUAAAUACAGGGUCGGCGGAAGCAAAUAAACAUUGGUCAGGCCAUUUAGCAUCAAUAACAGACGUCGACAAACAGCUGGCUGAAGGCCAGGUGCGCAUGGCGCAGCCGUGGCGGAGGAGCUCUAGGGGGGGGGGGUUCCCCUCGUCAAAGGGGGGUUUCGGGGUCCUCCCCCAAGAAAUUUUAAACAUUUAAGACACCAGGAUGCCUUUUUAGAGCUUAAAAAUACUUUUCAAAACUCUAACAAAUAUAUAUUUAUACUUCAGUAUAGGCCUAAUUAUUUCGGCAUCUGCCAAUUUGCAUGUCAAAUUUUUUGCGUGUGCACGUAGG